Molecule: long non-coding RNA, 850 nt
Filed under: Lingula anatina
Lineage: Eukaryota; Metazoa; Brachiopoda; Lingulata; Lingulida; Lingulidae
Description: uncharacterized LOC106154388, transcript variant X2
Source: RNAcentral
UUUUUUCAGUUAUAUUGUUCUUUUUCCAGAGUUCCCUUACCAUGAGAAAGCAGACAGUGAAAGACGAGAUCAAGAGCAGCACCAUGUCUUGUCCAUGUGUACAAUACAUGAUAUGAAGCAAGAUUUAGGGCAUUGUCAAGUAUUGUGGUAGCAGCAACCCAUUCCAGAAACCCAUUGUAAGGGGGAAUCUGCAUCUGGCAUUGAUAGUAAGGAGAAGUCCUGUAUGGGUAUAUAUUGUUUUCCAGAUGACAGUUCUAGAGUUCCCUUACCAUGAAAAAACAGACAGUGAAAGAAGGGAUCAAGAGCAGCACCAUGUCUUGUCCAUGUGUACAAUACAUGAUAUGAAGCAAGAUUUAGGGCAUUGUCAAGUAUUGUGGUAGCAGCAACCCAUUCCAGAAACCCAUUAUUUUCCUUACCAUGAAAAAGGAGGCAGUGAAAGACAGCAUCAAGAGCAGCACCAUAUGUCUUAUCCAUGAGUACAAUAUAUGAUGAAGCCCUGAACCUGGGAAAUAUGUGUACUUUAGAUAAACGAAGGGAAGAUCUGUGCAAAACUUUCUUUUACAAAAUAACUGAACCCUCUGACAAACUGAAUCACAUUUUAAUUGAGUAAUCCAAUCAUCUUUUAAGAUCAAACAAUAAAUACAAAGUGCCAAAAUUUAAGACCGAUAGAUACCGAUGCUCUUUUAUUCCAUAUGCACUUUUAAAUUUCCAAUAGUAUAAUGUUGUCUUUUAUCCUAAGUACAGUAAUUUUAAAGUUCAAGUAGCAGUCUUUUAACUCAGUUUCAUUCAAGCAAAUAUCAUUUUAUUAUCAUUAUGAUGUUCUUUACAUUCUAUGUACAACUUCAACCCA